GACGAACCGUGCGAACGUUAUUCGGAAUCACUGGGCUUAAAGCGCGUGUAGGCGGGCGGGAACGUCGGUCGUUGAAAUCCCCCGGCUCAACCGGGGAACGGGCACCGAUACGGGCGGCCUCGAGGGGGGUAGGGGGGUCUGGAACUUCCGGUGGAGCGGUGAAAUGCGUUGAGAUCGGAAGGAACGCCCGUGGCGAAAGCGAGGCCCUGGACCCUUUCUGACGCUGAGACGCGAAAGCCAGGGGAGCGAACGGG
RNAcentral lists this ribosomal RNA (254 nucleotides) under uncultured bacterium. RNAcentral's name for it is "partial 16S ribosomal RNA". It matches the Rfam family "Bacterial small subunit ribosomal RNA", at positions 524 to 776 of the family's 1533-position model. The record is from RNAcentral.